This 203-nucleotide small nuclear RNA is filed under the name Erinaceus europaeus (western European hedgehog). RNAcentral describes it as "7SK RNA". It matches the Rfam family "7SK RNA", at positions 1 to 200 of the family's 331-position model. Rfam says of the family: 7SK was discovered as an abundant small nuclear RNA in the mid-70s but a possible function has only recently been suggested. Two independent studies have found that 7SK RNA binds the CDK9/cyclin T complex (known as elongation factor P-TEFb). Lineage: Eukaryota; Metazoa; Chordata; Mammalia; Eulipotyphla; Erinaceidae. The record is from Rfam by way of RNAcentral.
GGAUGUAAGCGCUAUCUGGCAGUGACAUCUGUCACCCCACUGAUUGCUAGGGUUGAUUUGGCUGAUCUGGCUGGCUAGGCAGGUGUCCCUGUCGUCCUCCCUCACCACUCCAUGUGUGUCCCUCCCAAAGCUGUGUGCUCAGUUGAAGAGGACGGCCUUCCCCAAUAGAGACUGAACUGUCUUAGGUCGAGGGUAUAUGAGUU